AUUGAACGCUGGCGGCAUGCCUUACACAUGCAAGUCGAACGGCAGCACGGGAGUAAUCCUGGUGGCGAGUGGCGAACGGGUGAGUAAUAUAUCGGAACGUGCCCAGUCGUGGGGGAUAACGCAGCGAAAGCUGUGCUAAUACCGCAUACGAUCUCUGGAUGAACGCGGGGGACCGUAAGGCCUCGCGCGAUUGGAGCGGCCGAUAUCAGAUUAGCUAGUUGGUGGGGUAAAGGCCCACCAAGGCGACGAUCUGUAGCUGGUCUGAGAGGACGACCAGCCACACUGUGACUGAGACGCGGUCCAGACUCCUACGGGAGGCAGCAGUGGGGAAUUUUGGACAAUGGGCGCAAGCCUGAUCCAGCAAUGCCGCGUGCAGGAUGAAGGCCUUCGGGUUGUAAACUGCUUUUGUACGGAACGAAACGGCGAGCUCUAAUAAAGUUUGCUAAUGACGGUACCGUAAGAAUAAGCACCGGCUAACCACGUGCCAGCCGCCGCAGUAA
Molecule: ribosomal RNA, 500 nt
Filed under: uncultured bacterium
Lineage: Bacteria
Description: partial 16S ribosomal RNA
Rfam family: Bacterial small subunit ribosomal RNA
Source: RNAcentral